CCCACUGUGUCACUUAUAACUAUUAUUCUUCUCAAUAGUAAUUAUUACUACUUUCUCAUUAUUUUAAUUUUUGAAUGUCUUUUAUUUACGGUUCCCUUUAAAAAUUAUUUGCACUGGCUGUUUUAAUUCUUAUUUUUAGUAUUUCAUUUUGUUUUAAAUAAGAGGGAUAAUUUGAAAAUCAAUAAGGCAACAAACUGCUCUGUCCAUCACGUAAUUUCUGAUAUAAGAUAGGCACUGCCUACUUUUUAAAAUUCAGAUAAUCAGCAGUACAAAGAGAACACUGUCUGGUAU
RNAcentral lists this long non-coding RNA (291 nucleotides) under Bos taurus (domestic cattle). RNAcentral describes it as "long non-coding RNA NONBTAT012223". Lineage: Eukaryota; Metazoa; Chordata; Mammalia; Artiodactyla; Bovidae. The record is from RNAcentral.